Molecule: unclassified non-coding RNA, 2074 nt
Filed under: Leishmania donovani
Lineage: Eukaryota; Euglenozoa; Kinetoplastea; Trypanosomatida; Trypanosomatidae
Description: gene:LdHU3.22.0470(CDS-product:SEP_domain_contain ing_protein_putative)
Source: RNAcentral
CUCUUCUUAUGCAUCUCCUACACGCAGGAAUCUCACAUGCACACACACACACACACACACACACACACACGCCACCACCAUAGCAGCAGCAGGCCACGGACACACGAGGAACUUUGCCGUUACACAGACGGAGCCGUUCUUUUGCUCCUUGCGUUGUGGUGUACCGCGUGCGCCAUCUCGACCGCCCCGCCUUUCCACAUAGACACACCCUGGUGACCGGAAGAGAAGGCCCAGAGACGGCAGGCAAAGGAAGCAGGAGGCAACAUGGACGGCGAAAAGCUCAGCUCGAUCAACACGCUGCGCACACGCUUUCCGGCGCUGACCGUUUCAGAUGCCCGCGCGUUGCUAGAGCGGCACAACUGGAAUGUCACCAUCGCUGGCGCGGAGGCAGAGCGAGGGGAGCGACAGCGCAAGAAGGCGGACUCGGCAAACUACUUUGUGGGCGGCGGGGACAAGGGUAGUGGGCAGCAGGUCAUGGCGCCGCCCGGUGAGAGUGUUUCCGACCGCAGCGGUGAAAUCGGCAGCGGCAGCGGGGUGCACUCCAUGAUCGAUCGCAUUUUUCGCAAAGCGGAGGUGGAGAUGGCGAAAGCGAGCGGAGGUGAUGGCGGCACUGGCGUCGAGGAUAAUGAGCCGCGUGCCUUUUACGGUCGAGGUCAGCGCCUCGGCUACACCGCCAACCCCAGUCCAUACGUCGCCUCUACGCUGCGCGCAGCGCGGUCUGUUUGCAUAACAGUCUACCGUAACGGCUUCGAGGUGGACAGCAACGGGUUUGUGCCGCUCAACAGUGACGAGGGCCGCCAGUUUGUGGAGGCAAUGGACAAGGGUUAUGUGCCGCCUUCCCUCGCCGCCAAGUAUCCGAACACAGACCUGACGGUGAACCUGCGCGACUGCCUCCAGGUAGACUACGUCCCACCUUCGUACAUCCCUUUUCAGGGCCACGGCCACCGCCUUGCAGCGCCAAGCAGUGCCGCCGCCUCGUCUGCCGCACCAGCAGAUGCUCAAGCGUCUCCCGCGACGGCGGGUAGCCCGGGUACGCCAACCUACGAUCCCUCUCGCGCCGUGGAGGUGCGCAGCGAUGAGGCGACGUCAUUUGUGGUGCUCCUGAACACGCGAGGGGAGCGGCGGCAAGUGCAGGUAAACCCGGAACGGCACACCGUGGACGACCUCUACAGCCUUGCUCAUGCCUAUCAGCCGGAGCUGCCGAAUUUUAUCCUGGUGGAGCGCGGGAUGCCGCCGCGCCGCUUGGAGGCCUCUACGCGGUCGCAGACAAUCGCGCAGGCGAAGCUCAGCCGCGCUGUUGUAGCCCUUCAGCAGCUGUGACGGCGGUGUGGAAAAGGAGACGCCAGCUCUGCAGCAAGCGCACUUGCGUGCGUGUGUGUGUGUGUGCGUUGGGGGCGGGGGGAAGGAGUCGUGCAGUGGAGGGUAAAGGGCUUGGCGUCAACGGAUGUUCUCCAUCCUUGCUGUCACGAAGACCGACUACCUACGUCGGCUCUCAGCACCCACGUCGCCCAUCCCUCACUUUUCACUGGGGCACCGGUAAUGAGGUGCGGCUUUUGCUCUUUUUCUGUUCGUGCGAAUCGGGAACGGCACACGCCCUCGUCAGCAUCCUUGAAGCUCCCUUCGCGGCGUCUCCUCCAACCCCUCCUCCCUCCUCAAUACUUCCACACGCAGGCUUCCACCCUUUGGCUUUGCCGUCUCUUUUCCCUAUGAGGGCACCAGUCUUGGUUCACUGACUUUUCUCCUCUCUGCUUAGGGCACGCCUUCACGACUCCCCUGGCGGCAGUCCCUCCUCUCCCUCUCCGAGUGUGGUGCGCUGUAUCUGUGUGUGCGUGUGUUUACGGCCCCUUCCGUGCGCCGUGUUGCGCUGGAAGGGUGUGCUGCCAAAGCCGCUAGCAGGAGGGAGUGCGAGGGAUAAAAGGACUACAUCCACACCGUUGACCGAGUUGUCAAUACAAGCCACCGCACACAAGAUCAUCGCACGCCAUCGGCGAAAUGCACACCCGCCUAUGCACACCUACUUGAUCGUGCACGUAUGCAGGCGCGGGCACUCUUACCCAAUCGCGCUAUGCUCACU